Molecule: transfer RNA, 73 nt
Filed under: Anaerotignum lactatifermentans
Lineage: Bacteria; Bacillati; Bacillota; Clostridia; Lachnospirales; Anaerotignaceae
Description: tRNA-Thr
Rfam family: tRNA
About the family: Transfer RNA (tRNA) molecules are approximately 80 nucleotides in length. Their secondary structure includes four short double-helical elements and three loops (D, anti-codon, and T loops). Further hydrogen bonds mediate the characteristic L-shaped molecular structure. tRNAs have two regions of fundamental functional importance: the anti-codon, which is responsible for specific mRNA codon recognition, and the 3' end, to which the tRNAs corresponding amino acid is attached (by aminoacyl-tRNA synthetases). tRNAs cope with the degeneracy of the genetic code in two manners: having more than one tRNA (with a specific anti-codon) for a particular amino acid; and 'wobble' base-pairing, i.e. permitting non-standard base-pairing at the 3rd anti-codon position.
Source: RNAcentral
GCCGGAAUAGCUCAGUUGGUAGAGCAACUGAUUCGUAAUCAGUAGGUCGCGUGUUCGAGUCACGUUUUCGGCU